UGGGGAGGCGACUCCGGAGAUGAGUCAAGCGAAGGAGAAGAAGACGAAGCAGCAAAUCUUUGCCUUAUGGCACAAGAAGACAACAAAGAUGAGGUGUGUCAAAUUUCGUCUAAAAACUUCUUUACUCUUGAAGACAUGCAAACUGCUUUUGAUGAAUUAUAUGCUGAGUUUAUUAAGGCUUCAAAAAUUGAUAAGGGCAUAAAAGAAAAUGCUUCAUUAAAAGAAAAG
This 228-nucleotide long non-coding RNA is filed under the name Nicotiana benthamiana. Its description in RNAcentral is "long non-coding RNA (NBEN_LNC026254)". The record is from RNAcentral. Lineage: Eukaryota; Viridiplantae; Streptophyta; Magnoliopsida; Solanales; Solanaceae.